This 213-nucleotide long non-coding RNA is filed under the name Elaeis guineensis (African oil palm). RNAcentral describes it as "long non-coding RNA (EGUI_LNC034815)". The record is from RNAcentral. Lineage: Eukaryota; Viridiplantae; Streptophyta; Magnoliopsida; Arecales; Arecaceae.
ACUUCAUAUAUUCCACCUCUCUUUGGGUUUAACAUGGGUUUAUCUCUAAUAGAGGCAGACAUAUGAUGUAAUGAAUUUUCACUUAAAAUUUCAAACAGUUGCCAUGCCUCAUCCUCACUUUUCAGCAUGAAUAUCCCACCACAUGAUGCAUCGAUCAUUUGUCGAUGUCUUUCAGAUAGCCCAUCAUAAAAAUAUUGGAUUAACUGCCACUUG